Vicia faba (fava bean) is the source of this 219-nucleotide non-coding RNA. NCBI's taxonomy places the organism in Eukaryota, Viridiplantae, Streptophyta, Magnoliopsida, Fabales, Fabaceae. The record is from the annotation of a GenBank genome assembly.
AUGUCAGCAACAAAGCCUCCGUUAAAAAAGUCAUUAUUAGUUAUGGCGACAGACAUGGAUUUAUCACCAUUCCUAAAUCAACAUUAUAAGGAACUAAGAAGGUUUUGGCAAAAAGAAUGUAGAAAACAGCAGAAUCAAAGGCAAAUAAACAGAUUUUUUUUAAAACAACCCGUCAAACUGAUCACUAGUUCGAAUCAGUGUUGUCAAAAUACAAGAUGA